AUGAACGCUGGCGGCGUGCCUAAUACAUGCAGGUCGAGCGAACAGACGAGGAGCUUGCUCCUCUGACGUUAGCGGCGGACGGGUGAGUAACACGUGGAUAACCUACCUAUAAGACUGGGAUAACUUCGGGAAACCGGAGCUAAUACCGGAUAAUAUAUUGAACCGCAUGGUUCAAUAGUGAAAGACGGUUUUGCUGUCACUUAUAGAUGGAUCCGCGCCGCAUUAGCUAGUUGGUAAGGUAACGGCUUACCAAGGCAACGAUGCGUAGCCGACCUGAGAGGGUGAUCGACCACACUGGAACUGAGACACGGUCCAGACUCCUACGGGAGGCAGCAGUAGGGAAUCUUCCGCAAUGGGCGAAAGCCUGACGGAGCAACGCCGCGUGAGUGAUGAAGGUCUUCGGAUCGUAAAACUCUGUUAUUAGGGAAGAACAAAUGUGUAAGUAACUAUGCACGUCUUGACGGUACCUAAACAGAAAGCCACGGCUAACUACGUG
This 496-nucleotide ribosomal RNA is filed under the name uncultured bacterium. RNAcentral's name for it is "partial 16S ribosomal RNA". It matches the Rfam family "Bacterial small subunit ribosomal RNA", at positions 29 to 507 of the family's 1533-position model. The record is from RNAcentral.